Long non-coding RNA from Brienomyrus brachyistius, 5217 nucleotides. RefSeq lists it as uncharacterized. Lineage: Eukaryota; Metazoa; Chordata; Actinopteri; Osteoglossiformes; Mormyridae. The transcript has 3 exons. The record is from RefSeq and is a predicted model, not a curated record.
UUAGAAACAGCCAACCAGGUUGUGACACGUGGCAAUCAGGUGACAUGCCCCUAAUCCCCAGUCUGCUCAUCAGGAUUUACUUUGCUUGACCACUACCCAUCUUUUCUGUGAAAAAGGAUGGAUGUGACACAUUUCUGACUGUCACUGCACAUUUCCCCCGAUGCCUACAGCUAUUUAUUUGCCAUCCUCCUAGAGACGGCUACAGUGUGUUGUACCUCGUUGCAGAAUGAUCUGCCACAGAACAACCCCCAAAGAAUCCUCCAAAUGAAUAAGGCCGUUACACAUAGUUGUGCAAUUUGAGUAUGAGACCCUAAACUCUUCCGCCGGAGUCCAUCUUACAAGCCAAAAUUAGAAGGGAUACAUUCAGUCAUAGACACCAGACACCAGAUGAAGCUGUGGCACUCGUUUUCAACACAACCUCUGCUGGACUCCUGCAAACAUGGAGGUCAUGCAUACUCUAUGCUGGAUUCAGACCUGCCGGAUUUUCCUGCUGCCAGACAAAGCAAGGAAAUCAAACAGCUGUUGUUCCCAUCUACAGAUGUCCGCUUCAUCUACACAGGGGAUCAGGCCCCGGGCAUCAUGGGUAAGAUGCGCUAGCCAAACUGGCUCUACUGUAGGUAUCCAGGUUUGUUCUGUGAGUAGCUCUUCAGGGCUAAGGUGGAAAUGGAUGAUUUACACCCCCUCUUUGUAGGCCUGUGUGACAGGCAGCCAUGAAGGGACAUUCCAUCGCCCCUGCAGGAGCUCUGACACGAGAAGCACGGCAACACCGCAGCCUUUUAAUCUCACCGACAGGAGGAAGUUAGCCAUGUACCUCAUAGCUGUGGAAGUGCUUCUGAUCCACCAAUUACUGAACCAAACAGCACAAGGCUUGCGUUAUAAAAUUUCUCGUACAGACGUUUCAAAAGUUUUAAGAAACCCGAGAAAUUGAAGAUGCGAUUGGUUUACAGCGUGUGUUGCGCGGUACAUAAAUCUGCCUUGUAUAUUGAGAGGCUCAUUUAAACCCUGCUAAUUCCUUCUCUCUUUUUCAAUAGCAUCAGCCUGCUUUGUGUUCCAAGGCAAACGGCAGAAAUGCCAUUUACACUCAGCAGGCGGACUUUAAAUCAAAGCACAGCCCAUCCAGCGGCAUGUAUCUUGUCAGCUUUCAUCAGAACAAACCACAUCAUAAAUCUUCUCUCCCUCCACCUAGCCAGAGAUGGUGGGCAGAGCUGAGGAGAGCUGAGGAGUGGCAGCAGACUGAGCAGUUUAAUGUUGCAGAGAUGCAGUGGGCUGAGUGGCUUCAUGCUACGGAGAGGCAGCGGGCUCUGGAGAGGCAACAUAUGGCGGGAUUGCAGCAGGCUCAGGAGAAACGCAGUGUGGUGGCUCCGCAGAAGUGGCAUGUGGUGGCACUGCAGUGGGCUCCGGUGGACCAGGAGUCUCGGGCUGCAGGGGCCUGACAAGAUGGGGUCCAGCUGCAUGGGGUCUGACGAGAUGGAAGAUGCAAGCACAGCCAACGUCUUCUGCUUCUUCCUUCUUUGGCCUGAUUGGGGAGCUGCAGAGAGUUGGCGGGCGGAGUGGCCUCUCACUUAUUAGCUGCUGCAUCUCCCCUCCCUGGACCUUCUCUGCCUCCUGAAGAUCCGUGCCUGGGGUGAGCCCUGCCAGUAUCUCCCCACCAGCAAGAAGAGUGCUCUGGCCUCGGGCACCUUCCACAUGGUGGAAUUUUACUUCCACUCCAGGUGGGCGUUCAGGUUGGAGAAGAAGUUCUUGGCUUGCAGGCAGGGUGACUCCAGAGGGAUCAGCGUUGACUCUGGGGAACCAGGAGUUCGAGAUGUAAUCAGCUUGGGCAGAGCUUCCUCUGAUCUCCUUCCUAAGCGAAGUAACCCAUUUAUAGUUGGCAGUGGCAAGGCAAUCUGCACGGUGAGUGGUUUAGCUAAUUCAUCGGGAUCAUUGGGCACCUCCAGAUCACUGUCACUCUUCGAGUCUAUCAGGGGAUUGUCCAUGAACCCCUGAGGUCAGCAGACUAGAACCUCAGGCUGGGAGAGGAGGCUGGGGUGCAGAGGAAAUAGUGUGGGCAGAGAUGCAGAAUGUAAGGGGCUCCUGGGGAUAGCUGCUUGGCAAUUUGUGGAGUCCGGUCAUUCUGUCGUGUCUUAAGGAAUGAAGGACUUGAGGGCAGGUGUUGUGCUGAAACAAAACAGUAUGAACAGCAAAUGGAAACUUACAGGACUUCGAGGGAUCACAAAUGGAUGGACUGGCAACCAAGAUGGGCACAGGCAACAAGAAGCAUCAAUGGACUAAUGAGACAAAGAGGUACUUAAAUGCAAGGACUAAUGAGGGGUAACAAGCACCAGAUGUGGCUCAUCGAAGCCAUGGUAGGGAGGAGACAAGAGGUCUGUUAGGAUCAUGGUGGCAGUAAGAUCCAUGGGAUAGGAAUCAUCCUGAAGAGCCAAAUUGGAGGAGCCAUAGAAGAGUGAGACCUUAGAUGUCCUCUCUGGUGGCUUGGCCAGUAUCCCCGUUCUGAGAUGACCUGACAUGAAGACCUCGUGCAGCCUACCAGAUCUGAAGGAAACGAUUAUAAGCUGUCAGACUGGGCUACUAACCAUAAGCAAGGUCUAAUCGAGAUGUGAAAUCAUAGGACCGGAAGACGGGCUGGUGCCAAACAUUCUUUGGAUAUUUCUGAGGUGAAGAACCUUCCGGAACAUAGCACGGUGGGCGGCUUGAGUUACGUCCACUUCCCUGUCAGCAGAAAUGAUCCCAACGGCAGUGGCCCUGCUAAAACUGGUGGUGCCACAAGCCAGUGUGAGCGCUAAUGCUGAGCCAGGGGGUCGUCUUACAGUGGACAUGGUGUCAGUGGACGAGGUGUCAGUCAGAGACCACAAGUGUGAGACCCAUUCUUUCCAAUGCCAAGGGCAACUAAUGUGUUCCCUCCUCAACAAGCAUUAUGGGAUUUCUGUAGGACUUAGCAAGUUAGUUACUGAAAAAAAACAUACCUCAUGUUCCCAUUAUUAAUGGUACUUGAGCUGGCAAAAUCCACUGCCUAUUUUUUCAGAUGUGUUUAUAUACCACAGCUAAAUGCUGUAUAAACAUCCAUCCAUUUAGCAUAUAGGUUAUGCCAACAGACACCUACUGCAGCCACGAUCCCCAGAACAACUAUCAUCUGAACAUACCGUAAAAAGGGUUAUGUUUUAAAAGUAACUUAAGAUAUGUAAAAUAUGUAUACCGCAAUUCAUGUGCAUGAAGUUUAAUAUUUCUACAGGCUGAGUGAGUGUAGCCACAUUUAUUCAUAUUGGUUCAUUCUACUUGUACCAUUUCCCAGUAUUGCUAUAUACUUCAGUUUGGCUUAGAAGCAUCCCCUAGUAAUGUACAUUAGAUUGUCAAUGGUGCCCCGUGAAAAGCACAAUCCCACUUCCACUGUAAUAGCUAACUUAUUUUGAUUUUUCAACAAAGGUGCUGUGUUUGUUCUUUCCCUGGCUUCUUCCAUCUGUUCCCCAAAAAGGAAAAUUCAAACUCGGGCAUCGUUAGAGAUGUUGGGCCUCAUGAAACGAUAUUAUAUUGGGUCCACAGCCCAGACCAAUCCAGUUAUGUUCCAGAUGUUUAGAGCCCCUUUCACCCUGGAAUCAGGAUAACUUUCCCCUCCAGUAACACUUUACUUGACGGGGCACACAUACUUAGUAAUAACUCAGUUAUUACUGAAGUACAAAUCCUGAACAAAUAUAGUUGCUACUUGAGAUAAGAGAUGCUUCACAAUUAAUUGAUGAUGAACAGACAUGAGAUCAGUAUUUCACUUGUGUUAUAUAAAAAGAAAACUGCGUUAUAACUUGUUUAAAAUGGUCUAUUAAUAAUUUAUAAACUGUUACAACCUAAUUCAUAACCUGUUUAUAAACCAUUCCUAAACCCUUUAUAUGGGUAGCCUUAUUGUAAAGCGGCACUGUAGUUCCUUCACUAGUUCCUUCAACAGUUUAUAGAAUUAACAGAUAUAGUGACAUAAUAACUGCUUGAGAUGAAAGAUGCAUCAUGAUUCAUUAAUGAUGAACAAAUAUGAGAUCAGUGUUUAACUUGUGUUAUUCAUGACUUGCCCCUUCAGAUGUUCCUUCAGUAGAUCAGGAUGUAGUAACAAAUAUAGUAACUGCUUUAGACAAACCAUGUGUCACGAUUCAUUAAUGAUGAAUUAAUAUGACAUAAGUAUGUAACUAAGACAUAGCUUGUGGUUAAUUAAUACACAAGUAAUAGCACAAUACUAUAUUAUUUGUGCCCCCUCAAGUAAAGUGUUACCUUCCCCACUGUUGCAGUGCCAAUGUUAAAAUAUGAUUUAUAUUAAUGAAAGACAUUUCAUUACAGUACAGCUGUUUGCUUAAGAUACUCUCAUUUAGUUAUUUGACUUUAUUCACUUUUGAGGAAUGCAAUAUACAUAUUCUGUAACAAAACACCAGGUCUCCACUCUAUUUGUGCAGUUAUAAUGACCCGUAAAGGUAGCACAAUAGCUUUAAUACAGUUUUCUGUGGGUUUAUUGAUUUUUCUGGGGGUUGAACAUCAACUGUUAGAAGUAUUGUCAUAGAAACACCAUAAUAAGUGUUUAAUGUACCGGCUGUAAGUCAAGGAACACAGAUCAGUGGGGGAAGGCAGCUUUCAGCAGUCAGUGACCUGUGUGUCGGAGUUGUGUUACCAGUAAGGCCUGGGAUCCCUGGCACCACUGGCCUCCUGCUGGGAGGAUGCUGUACUGGCCGAAACCUGGGCUUUUCACGAAGGCCUGCUUUCUUGAUCCGUGGCAGGCCUGGGAACAGUGACAGCUUAGCACAGAAAUGCAUUGCGGCUAAUACAUUAAUAAGAAGGAGUUGUGACCUCUGACCCUCAGCGAUAUACAUCGUCAACCACCAUAUACUCAGGGCCUGCUGUAUAUUAUGCUACCUUAUAUGGGGGCAGUAUCCCCAGGUGACCCCUCUCCCAUUUUCAUUGGUUCUGAGCAGGGUAAUCACUGAGGGGGUGUGGCUUGGGACAGGGAUGUGUUCCCAGGCCCUAGACUGCAGGGGGCCAGAAUCUACCGAUCGACCAAGGGGGACUCAACCCCCCACUCGGCAAAAUCUACUGAAAAAGUCCAAGGCGACAUUUUGUCAGGAGGCUUAGAAUUCCUUGGAAAAAUUCCUUGAGUGCUGUUGCUCCUACUAUGAUUAAUUAUUGUAUAAUUUAAGAAAAUAUGGGGUUUGUUUGCUUAGUAGAAAGAACUCAGUGACAGUAUUCAUUUUUUUU